This 687-nucleotide unclassified non-coding RNA is filed under the name Hevea brasiliensis (rubber tree). Lineage: Eukaryota; Viridiplantae; Streptophyta; Magnoliopsida; Malpighiales; Euphorbiaceae. The record is from RNAcentral.
UUUCUUCCUCAAAACUGAGUUAGCUAUGUCAAUCUUCCUCUGCUCAUCUUCCAGGUCACUCUGCUUUUGCCUCAGAAUGCCGUCAUUCUCAUUUGCUCGCUGCUCUCUUUGAUUAAGCAAUGUUCGAGCAUCAGCCAGCCUCUCCUCUCCUUCCUUUAGUUUUCUUUCCCAUUCUCGCAACUCUUCUCUGUGUUUAGAUAUAGCACUCUCAUGAGCUUCACGCUCGGUAUUGAAAGAGGACCGUUCUCUUCUAAGUGCAUUUUCUUGAGCCUCGAUAUCACGCAUUUUCCUCUCAACAUCUGAACUUUUUCUACUCACCUCAGCGGUCUUGGCGUCAGCUGCACGCAAUUUCAGUUCUACAUGUAGUGAAUUCUCUUCAACACUAGUAGCCAAUGCCUUUGCCUCAUCUAAUUUCGAAUCAGCUACAUACUUGGUCUCUGCAUACUGAGAGCGCAUCUCACGCAGUUCCUUCUCUAACUCACGCACACAUUGGUUCUCAACACCCAAUGCCUUCCUCAAAUUCUCCUCCCGUUUCUCCACUUCAGAUAGAGCAAUUAAGUGAGCUGUAUGUUCUCUUCUAUAGGCCUCAUUUGCUUCACUUAAGGCUUGCUUAAUUUCUUCAAGCUUAGCAGACCACUCCUUUUUCUCAAUCAAGAGAAGGCCCAUAUUGUACUGAUAGUCAACAAG